Long non-coding RNA from Homo sapiens (human), 1394 nucleotides. Ensembl annotates it as DARS1 antisense RNA 1. Its record names the gene DARS1-AS1. NCBI's taxonomy places the organism in Eukaryota, Metazoa, Chordata, Mammalia, Primates, Hominidae. The record is from Ensembl.
UUUUAAAAGAAAAUAAUUAUUGAUGUGUAAAGUAAAUGAAAACACAGUCAAGUGGGAGUGUAAUUGAAAGUAAUUUAAGAGUUCAAUGGUUGAUGACUUUUUUCAAUUAUGAUAUCUCUUUAUUAAUAGGAAAUUCAUAAAUUAAGGAGUAUGCAAUAUAAUCAUUGUGGAAUAUAUUAGGGAAACAUUUUUGAUCCAUGCAAGUAAAUUGAGAUAGACUGGGUGCACCUGUUCCUAGUCAUGCCCAGGGAAUAUGUGAAACUCUGGCUCAGGAUGAACGUCUGUUGGUGUCAGCACAACAAUAAUGAAACAAAGUUGGCAGUAGGGUGGGGAAGUGUUUGGUGGGUGGGAGCCACCAUCUGCAGCCAGCUCCCAGCACGGCUGUGUGUUCGGAUACCCAUCAACCAGGAAAGGGAGUCUAAGGCCUCCAGAUGAUUUUCCCCUUUCACAAAACUGUUGUAAAAUGAAAUACAAAUCCUUCCUGAAUGUUCCUAGCUUUUCUUCCUUUCGGAAGUUUUCAGUCAAUGGGAAACAAAGCCUUAUUCAAAGGAUUAAAGCCAUAGUCAUUCUAUUGUUUGGGGCUUCAAUAAUGUGGCUUUCCUUCCACAGACAGAAUUUUCAAUUCACAAAUCAUCUGAAAAACAGGAAAUUUUGGAGAAACAUGCUUAUGAUAACAAACAAGGGAUCUAUCGUGUGGUAUAGAAGUUUACACAAAGAGGCAUCUGAUUUUAAGUUUUUGUUUUUUUUUUUUUUUUUUUUUUUACCGUUCUGGGCUUCUGGCUGCAUUCUAGGAAGAUCAUUCCUUAAAAGAAAUAGCCAUAUGGCUUAUAAGGGACUAUAUCUUAAGACUAUGUGUCUUCUGCAGUUCUUUGCAUAGAGUCAACGUUGAAGGACAAGCAACUUCAAAUUUCCAAGCAACAAAAUUAUGUUCGGGUGGUUUUCUGAAAGCGAGAUCUUAAGAACCACCUGUAUCAGAAUCCCAUGAAGAGCUUGUUUAGUGUGCAAAUUUACAGAUUGUCCCCCCUCAGAAAUGCUCAUUUAGGAGUUCCUGUCCUUUGCGGGGACAUGGAUGAAGCUGGAAACCAUCAUUCUCAGCAAACUAACACAGGAACAGAAAACCAAACACUGCAUGUUCUCACUCAAAAGUGGGAGUUGAACAAUGAGAACACAUGGACACAGGGAGGGGAACGUCACACACCAGGGCCUGUCGGGGGUGGGAGGUAAGGGGAGGGAGAGGAUUAGGACAAAUACCUAAUGCAUGUGGGGCUUAAAACCUAGAUGAUGGGUUGAUAGGUGCAGCAAACCACCAUGGACAUGUAUACCUAUGUAACAAACUUGCAUGUUCAGUACAUGUAUCCCAGAACUUAAAGUAAAAUAUAAAACAAUAAUAAAAA